Molecule: ribosomal RNA, 904 nt
Filed under: uncultured soil bacterium
Lineage: Bacteria
Description: SSU rRNA
Rfam family: Bacterial small subunit ribosomal RNA
Source: RNAcentral
UUUAUCCAUUUGGAUAUUAUGUCUGGCUAGACGACGCUGGCGGCGUGGAUAAGACAUGCAAGUCGAGCGAGAUUUUUUCCUGUAGCAAUACAGGGAAAAGUCUAGCGGCGAACGGGUGCUUAACACGUGGGCAACCUGCCGAGAAGUGGGGGAUAGCUCGCCGAAAGGCGAAUUAAUACCGCAUGUGAUUAGAGAGGACAUCCUUUCGAAAUUAAAGUCGGGGCAAUCUGACGCUUUUUGUGGGGCCCGCGGCCUAUCAGCUAGUUGGUGAGGUAACGGCUCACCAAGGCUUUGACGGGUAGCUGGUCUGAGAGGACGACCAGCCACACUGGGACUAAGACACGGCCCAGACACCUACGGGUGGCAGCAGUCGAGAAUUUUUCUCAAUGGGGGAAACCCUGAAGGAGCGACGCCGCGUGGAGGAUGAAGGUCUUCGGAUUGUAAACUUCUGUCAUUGGGGAACAAGGUGCAUACGUUAACUGCGUGUGCAUUGAUAGUACCCGAAGAGGAAGAGACGGCUAACUCUGUGCCAGCAGCCGCGGUAAUACAGAGGUCUCAAGCGUUGUUCGGAUUCAUUGGGCGUAAAGGGUGCGUAGGCGGCGCGGUAAGUCGGGUGUGAAAUCUUGGAGCUUAACUCCGAAACUGCAUUCGAUACUGCCGUGCUUGAGGACUGGAGAGGAGACUGGAAUUUACGGUGUAGCGGUGAAAUGCGUAGAUAUCGUAAGGAAGACCAGUGGCGAAAGCGGGUCUCUGGACAGUUCCUGACGCUGAGGCACGAAGGCCAGGGGAGCAAACGGGAUUAGAUACCCCGUAGUCCUGGCAGUAAACGUGCACGUUUGGUGUGGGAGAUCGACCCCUCUGCGCGGAGCUACGCGUUAACGUGCCGCCUGGGGAGUACGGUCGC